Molecule: ribosomal RNA, 253 nt
Filed under: uncultured bacterium
Lineage: Bacteria
Description: partial 16S ribosomal RNA
Rfam family: Bacterial small subunit ribosomal RNA
Source: RNAcentral
UACAGAGGGUGCGAGCGUUGUCCGGAAUCACUGGGCGUAAAGGGCGCGUAGGUGGCCCGAUAAGUAGGGGGUGAAAUCUCGAGGCUCAACUUCGAGGCUGCCUCCUAAACUGUCGGGCUCGAGCAGAGUAGAGGCAGGUGGAAUUCCCGGUGUAGCGGUGGAAUGCGUAGAGAUCCGGAAGAACACCAGAGGCGAAGGCGGCCUGCUGGGCCUUGUCUGACGCUGAGGCGCGAAAGCGUGGGGAGCGAACAGG